UGGGGUGCUCGAGUGGCGAACGGGUGAGUAACACGUGAGUAACCUGCCCUUGACUUUGGGAUAACUUCAGGAAACUGGGGCUAAUACCGGAUAGGAGCUCCUGCUGCAUGGUGGGGGUUGGAAAGUUUCGGCGGUUGGGGAUGGACUCGCGGCUUAUCAGCUUGUUGGCGGGUAGUGGCUUACCAAGGCUUUGACGGGUAGCCGGCCUGAGAGGGUGACCGGCCACAUUGGGACUGAGAUACGGCCCAG
This 249-nucleotide ribosomal RNA is filed under the name uncultured Actinomycetales bacterium. Its description in RNAcentral is "partial 16S ribosomal RNA". It matches the Rfam family "Bacterial small subunit ribosomal RNA", at positions 83 to 334 of the family's 1533-position model. The record is from RNAcentral. Lineage: Bacteria; Bacillati; Actinomycetota; Actinomycetes; Actinomycetales.